AUACGGAGGGUCCAAGCGUUAUCCGGAAUCAUUGGGUUUAAAGGGUUCGCAGGCGGUUUAAUAAGUCAGUGGUGAAAUCUCGGGGCUCAACCUCGAAACUGCCAUUGAUACUGUUAGACUUGAAUACAGCUGGAGUAGGCGGAAUGUGUAGUGUAGCGGUGAAAUGCUUAGAUAUUACACAGAACACCGAUAGCGAAGGCAGCUUACUAAACUGUGAUUGACGCUCAUGAACGAAAGCGUGGGGAGCGAACAGGAUUAGAUACCCCAGUAGUCC
This 274-nucleotide ribosomal RNA is filed under the name uncultured bacterium. Its description in RNAcentral is "partial 16S ribosomal RNA". It matches the Rfam family "Bacterial small subunit ribosomal RNA", at positions 523 to 796 of the family's 1533-position model. The record is from RNAcentral.